Molecule: ribosomal RNA, 402 nt
Filed under: uncultured bacterium
Lineage: Bacteria
Description: bacterial SSU rRNA
Rfam family: Bacterial small subunit ribosomal RNA
Source: RNAcentral
GACGAACGCUGGCGGCGUGCUUAACACAUGCAAGUCGAGCGGUAAGGCCCUUUCGGGGGUACGACGAGCGGCGAACGGGUGAGUAACACGUGGGUGACCUGCCCUCAGCUCUGGGAGUAAGCCUGGGAGACCGGGUCGUAAUACUGGAUAUGACUCCAUGACGCAUGUUGUGGGGUGGAAAGCCUUGUGCGGCUGAGGAUGGGCCCGCGGCCUAUCAGCUUGUUGGUGGGGUGAUGGCCUACCAAGGCGACGACGGGUAGCCGGCCUGAGAGGGCGACCGGCCACACUGGGACUGAGACACGGCCCAGACUCCUACGGGAGGGCAGCAGUGGGGGAAUAUUGGACAAUGGGCGCAAGCCUGAUCCAGCGAUGCCGCGUGUGUGAAGAAGGCCUGCGGGUUGU